GGAAUAAAAAUAAAUGAUAUAUACCUCGAUUAAUAUGCAACUGCUAUAUCUUACAACAUUUCUACUUCUUUAAGUACUAUGACUUUUAAUUUGAAGUACUGAAAAUAUACCCUCAAAAGGGAUUACUAUUUAAGUACAGCACAAUUUAUACUAUACAACAAAAUUUCCUUGAAAAAAACAAAGACCUCACUAGACCCAUUUGUAAUUUAAGAGAAGAUUUUUUAUGGAUAAAAGUAACAGAUGUCAACAAAGAAUUAACAACAUGCAAACAUCAUAAACAAGGAAGCUUAAACUUACUAAUUAUAUUCUUACAACUUACAAAUCAACUUUAAAUUCAUCUAUUACACUAAAUAAGACCAUUCACAUAUUUCAUAUCACUCAAUGAAAGGACAAGGUUCACCUAUGGCACAAAAUGGCCUUAAAUAUCUACUUAAUCAGAAAACACCAAAAAGGUCACAAUUUAUUUCGUAAAUGGGUCUAUUUCAAAAGUCUUAUUGAGAAAUACAUCAGUUCUUUUCAUAAAAGUACAUAAUAUUCUCAAAGUAAGCCCGUUUUUGGACAUUUUGUCAAAAUAUGACGAUUUUGUGCAAUUUUCAGACCUAAAAGCUGCCACCUAUGAUCCAAAAUGUGCUGUGACCAAAAUAUUCCAAUUUUGAUACAGAAUUCAUCAAUACAAAAACGUUUUGGAUCGUGGAUGGUGGCAAAGGUUAAUCAUGCAAAUAACAAUUAUAAUCAUGCCAAAAAAGUACCAAAACUGACCUUAAAAUACAAAUAAUGUUGAAUUAAGGGUUCAUAGCUUCAUAAAUUGUAAAGGAAAGUGCAGGAAAAAUAUAUUUUUGGCUUAAUAGUAUUAUAACAAGUAUUUCUAUGUGAAAUUUGUAAUUUUUUGGGCAGAUUUAAAAAACAUAAAAAAUUAAGGGCCAAUUUCAACCCAUCGUGAACCUUCUCCUUUAUUUCAAAAUGUAUGCUAACAAGCAUUUUUUUAUUUUCAUUUAUCCAUCUGUAAUCUUAAAUCUGCCACAUAAGGCAUUUCCAAAACAUUGUGCUUAUAAGGAGCACAUCUAUCAGAUUAUCUAUAAAGACAUUA
RNAcentral lists this long non-coding RNA (1087 nucleotides) under Mytilus galloprovincialis (Mediterranean mussel). Lineage: Eukaryota; Metazoa; Mollusca; Bivalvia; Mytilida; Mytilidae. The record is from RNAcentral.